RNAcentral lists this ribosomal RNA (443 nucleotides) under uncultured bacterium. RNAcentral's name for it is "partial 16S ribosomal RNA". It matches the Rfam family "Bacterial small subunit ribosomal RNA", at positions 338 to 795 of the family's 1533-position model. The record is from RNAcentral.
CCUACGGGUGGCAGCAGUAGGGAAUCUUUCACAAUGGGCGAAAGCCUGAUGGAGCAACGCCGCGUGCAGGAAGAAGGCUUUCGGGUUGUAAACUUCUUUUAUCAGGGACGAAGCAAGUGACGGUACCUCUUGAAUAAGCCACGGCUAACUACGUGCCAGCAGCCGCGGUAAUACGGAGGUGGCAAGCGUUGUCCGGAUUUACUGGGUGUAAAGGGCGUGCAGGCGGGAAGACAAGUCAGAUGUGAAAUCCCGCGGCUCAACCGCGGAACUGCAUUUGAAACUGUUUUUCUUGAGUACCGGAGAGGUCAUCGGAAUUCCUUGUGUAGCGGUGAAAUGCGUAGAUAUAAGGAAGAACACCAGUGGCGAAGGCGGAUGACUGGACGGCAACUGACGGUGAGGCGCGAAAGUGUGGGGAGCAAACAGGAUUAGAUACCCUUGUAGUC